UAAGCAGCGACGGUUGAAGGGACGGCUACGGCGUUCGAGAAAACUAAAAUCCACUUUGCGCAUGCGCGAUUCUAUCUCGAAAUUUCCUGCCGUUGUAGCCCAACUGUCUACUACGUGAGAGCGACUGGUUUGCCGUACUCUGAAAAACGUCGGAUUUCAAGCAGACAUGUCAUCAUUUGCCAAAACUCAAGAGGAUGCUAGACCACAGUACUGUGAAACUGGACUGGAGCAUAUUCAGUGUCUGGCCAUCCUGCUCUAAUUGAAAAACUCACAAAAUAAAAUAAAUAAAUAAUAAUAAAAUAAAUAAUAAUAUAAACAAAUCAUUUUGAGAUGACCGAUGUUUAAUAAUAAAACAAAAUAUUAUACAUGCAUGUCGGGACAUUGCUCUUUAUUAAGGUGAGAUCUUAUAGUCUUGCUACUAUAACAUGUCUUGAUUAACAAUUAAAUACAAUUUUAUACUA
Osmerus eperlanus (European smelt) is the source of this 461-nucleotide long non-coding RNA. RefSeq lists it as uncharacterized. The transcript has 3 exons. Lineage: Eukaryota; Metazoa; Chordata; Actinopteri; Osmeriformes; Osmeridae. The record is from RefSeq and is a predicted model, not a curated record.